Molecule: ribosomal RNA, 401 nt
Filed under: uncultured bacterium
Lineage: Bacteria
Description: bacterial SSU rRNA
Rfam family: Bacterial small subunit ribosomal RNA
Source: RNAcentral
AACGAACGCUGGCGGCAGGCUUAACACAUGCAAGUCGAACGCCCCGCAAGGGGAGUGGCAGACGGGUGAGUAACGCGUGGGAAUCUACCUAGCUCUUCGGAAUAGCUCCGGGAAACUGGAAUUAAUACCGAGUACGCCCUACGGGGGAAAGAUUUAUCGGAGUUAGAUGAGCCCGCGUUGGAUUAGCUAGUUGGUGGGGUAAUGGCCUACCAAGGCGACGAUCCAUAGCUGGUCUGAGAGGAUGAUCAGCCACACUGGGACUGAGACACGGCCCAGACUCCUACGGGAGGCAGCAGUGGGGAAUAUUGGACAAUGGGCGCAAGCCUGAUCCAGCCAUGCCGCGUGAGUGAUGAAGGCCCUAGGGUUGCAAAGCUCUUUCAGUAGGGAAGAUAAUGACGGUA